AUGGACGGCGAUGAAGACGAUGGUCUUCACUUCUUCUCUCAGGCCCCCUCGCAUCACCAUGCUUCCCAGGGCUCAUCCGCGGGCGGAAAUCAAGGGAGGGGAAUGGGAUUCUUCGAUCUGAACAGCAACAUCAACGACUACCCCGACUUGGGCUCGUACCAGCAACUCCUCCGUGGCGAGUCGGACGGCCAUGGUCUUCCUCCGAUUGGACUUGGUCGUGGGAGACCAGAUGUCAGAACAUUCAAGGCUGGCAAUCCUGAGUAUUUGGAUAUGCUUAUAGAGCUAUUCCAAGGUGUGGCAGUUGAUGGAUCAUCAGCUUAUGUGCCCAUAGAUGAAGAGGAAGAAGAAUAUGGUGCUGUCGAUGAUGGACAUGAGCAGAUUCCAAUGAGCACCACCAGCAGGAAGAGGGGAAGUAGCGACGCUGAACAGUCAGCAACAAGCCCAGGCAAGAAACACAAGAGCCCAAUGGUGAAACUAAUGACAGGGCUGAUCAACAGUAUCAAUAGUGAUAACACUUCUGAGAUGAUCACUGAAUAUGCAAACAAAAGGCAGGAAGCAAAGGACAAGGAAAAAGGGAAGAAAUCAAACAGCACCAAAGAAUCCAUUACUCGUUGUCAACGGUUGGCAGUUCAAUGUGGUGCAGAAGAAACAAGUGUCGAGUACUUCAUGGCAACUCAACUGUUUGCAGAUGAGGCAAACAGAGUCAUAUUUGAGAGCAUUACAAGUGAUGACGCUAGACUGAAUUGGUUGAAGAGGUGGUGCAUGAUGAAGAAGUUGUCCUAG
This 783-nucleotide ribosomal RNA is filed under the name Triticum aestivum (bread wheat). Its description in RNAcentral is "partial small subunit ribosomal RNA". The record is from RNAcentral. Lineage: Eukaryota; Viridiplantae; Streptophyta; Magnoliopsida; Poales; Poaceae.